GAUGAACGCUGGCGGCGUGCCUAAUACAUGCAAGUCGAGCGAACAGACGAGGAGCUUGCUCCUCUGACGUUAGCGGCGGACGGGUGAGUAACACGUGGAUAACCUACCUAUAAGACUGGGAUAACUUCGGGAAACCGGAGCUAAUACCGGAUAAUAUAUUGAACCGCAUGGUUCAAUAGUGAAAGACGGUUUUGCUGUCACUUAUAGAUGGAUCCGCGCCGCAUUAGCUAGUUGGUAAGGUAACGGCUUACCAAGGCGACGAUGCGUAGCCGACCUGAGAGGGUGAUCGGCCACACUGGAACUGAGACACGGUCCAGACUCCUACGGGAGGCAGCAGUAGGGAAUCUUCCGCAAUGGGCGAAAGCUUGACGGAGCAACGCCGCGUGAGUGAUGAAGGUCUUCGGAUCGUAAAACUCUGUUAUUAGGGAAGAACAAAUGUGUAAGUAACUAUGCACGUCUUAACGGUACCUAAUCAGAAAGCCACGGCUAACUACGUG
Molecule: ribosomal RNA, 497 nt
Filed under: uncultured bacterium
Lineage: Bacteria
Description: partial 16S ribosomal RNA
Rfam family: Bacterial small subunit ribosomal RNA
Source: RNAcentral